GACGAACGCUGGCGGCGUGCUUAACACAUGCAAGUCGAACGGUGAAGCGCCUUCCUUUUUGGUGGGUGUGGAUGAGUGGCGAGCGGGUGAGUAACACGUGAGUAACCUGCCCCCUUCUUCUGGAUAACCGCAUGAAAGUGUGGCUAAUACGGGAUAUUCUGGGUCUGUCGCAUGAUGGGUCUGGGAAAGAUAUUGUUUCGGUGGGGGAUGGGCUCGCGGCCUAUCAGCUUGUUGGUGGGGUGAUGGCCUACCAAGGCGGUGACGGGUAGCCGGCCUGAGAGGGUGGACGGUCACACUGGGACUGAGACACGGCCCAGACUCCUACGGGAGGCAGCAGUGGGGAAUAUUGCACAAUGGGCGCAAGCCUGAUGCAGCGACGCCGCGUGAGGGAUGGAGGCCUGCGGGUUGUGAACCUCUUUCGCCAGUGAAGCAGGCCUGCCUCGUUUGUGGGUGGGUUGACGGUAGCUGGAUAAGAAGCGCCGGCUAACUACGUG
RNAcentral lists this ribosomal RNA (494 nucleotides) under uncultured bacterium. RNAcentral describes it as "partial 16S ribosomal RNA". It matches the Rfam family "Bacterial small subunit ribosomal RNA", at positions 28 to 507 of the family's 1533-position model. The record is from RNAcentral.